This 253-nucleotide ribosomal RNA is filed under the name uncultured bacterium. RNAcentral's name for it is "partial 16S ribosomal RNA". It matches the Rfam family "Bacterial small subunit ribosomal RNA", at positions 524 to 776 of the family's 1533-position model. The record is from RNAcentral.
UACGUAGGGUGCGAGCGUUAAUCGGAAUUACUGGGCGUAAAGCGUGCGCAGGCGGUUCGUUGUGUCUGAUGUGAAAGCCCCGGGCUCAACCUGGGAAUGGCAUUGGAAACUGGCGAGCUGGAGUGUGGCAGAGGGGGGUGGAAUUCCGCGUGUAGCAGUGAAAUGCGUAGAGAUGCGGAGGAACACCGAUGGCGAAGGCAGCCUUCUGGGCCAACACUGACGCUCAUGCACGAAAGCGUGGGGAGCAAACAGG